CAGCCGCCGCGGUAAUACGAAGGGGGCUAGCGUUGCUCGGAAUUACUGGGCGUAAAGGGCGCGUAGGCGGACAUUUAAGUCAGGGGUGAAAUCCCGGGGCUCAACCUCGGAACUGCCUUUGAUACUGGGUGUCUUGAGUAUGAGAGAGGUGUGUGGAACUCCGAGUGUAGAGGUGAAAUUCGUAGAUAUUCGGAAGAACACCAGUGGCGAAGGCGACACACUGGCUCAUUACUGACGCUGAGGCGCGAAAGCGUGGGGAGCAAACAGGAUUAGAUACCCGAGUAGUCCCUGUCUCUUAUAC
This 301-nucleotide ribosomal RNA is filed under the name uncultured bacterium. RNAcentral describes it as "partial 16S ribosomal RNA". It matches the Rfam family "Bacterial small subunit ribosomal RNA", at positions 509 to 807 of the family's 1533-position model. The record is from RNAcentral.